Molecule: ribosomal RNA, 2390 nt
Filed under: Staphylococcus aureus
Lineage: Bacteria; Bacillati; Bacillota; Bacilli; Caryophanales; Staphylococcaceae
Description: partial 23S ribosomal RNA
Rfam family: Bacterial large subunit ribosomal RNA
Source: RNAcentral
GAUUAAGUUAUUAAGGGCGCACGGUGGAUGCCUUGGCACUAGAAGCCGAUGAAGGACGUUACUAACGACGAUAUGCUUUGGGGAGCUGUAAGUAAGCUUUGAUCCAGAGAUUUCCGAAUGGGGAAACCCAGCAUGAGUUAUGUCAUGUUAUCGAUAUGUGAAUACAUAGCAUAUCAGAAGGCACACCCGGAGAACUGAAACAUCUUAGUACCCGGAGGAAGAGAAAGAAAAUUCGAUUCCCUUAGUAGCGGCGAGCGAAACGGGAAGAGCCCAAACCAACAAGCUUGCUUGUUGGGGUUGUAGGACACUCUAUACGGAGUUACAAAGGACGACAUUAGACGAAUCAUCUGGAAAGAUGAAUCAAAGAAGGUAAUAAUCCUGUAGUCGAAAAUGUUGUCUCUCUUGAGUGGAUCCUGAGUACGACGGAGCACGUGAAAUUCCGUCGGAAUCUGGGAGGACCAUCUCCUAAGGCUAAAUACUCUCUAGUGACCGAUAGUGAACCAGUACCGUGAGGGAAAGGUGAAAAGCACCCCGGAAGGGGAGUGAAAUAGAACCUGAAACCGUGUGCUUACAAGUAGUCAGAGCCCGUUAAUGGGUGAUGGCGUGCCUUUUGUAGAAUGAACCGGCGAGUUACGAUUUGAUGCAAGGUUAAGCAGUAAAUGUGGAGCCGUAGCGAAAGCGAGUCUGAAUAGGGCGUUUAGUAUUUGGUCGUAGACCCGAAACCAGGUGAUCUACCCUUGGUCAGGUUGAAGUUCAGGUAACACUGAAUGGAGGACCGAACCGACUUACGUUGAAAAGUGAGCGGAUGAACUGAGGGUAGCGGAGAAAUUCCAAUCGAACCUGGAGAUAGCUGGUUCUCUCCGAAAUAGCUUUAGGGCUAGCCUCAAGUGAUGAUUAUUGGAGGUAGAGCACUGUUUGGACGAGGGGCCCCUCUCGGGUUACCGAAUUCAGACAAACUCCGAAUGCCAAUUAAUUUAACUUGGGAGUCAGAACAUGGGUGAUAAGGUCCGUGUUCGAAAGGGAAACAGCCCAGACCACCAGCUAAGGUCCCAAAAUAUAUGUUAAGUGGAAAAGGAUGUGGCGUUGCCCAGACAACUAGGAUGUUGGCUUAGAAGCAGCCAUCAUUUAAAGAGUGCGUAAUAGCUCACUAGUCGAGUGACACUGCGCCGAAAAUGUACCGGGGCUAAACAUAUUACCGAAGCUGUGGAUUGUCCUUUGGACAAUGGUAGGAGAGCGUUCUAAGGGCGUUGAAGCAUGAUCGUAAGGACAUGUGGAGCGCUUAGAAGUGAGAAUGCCGGUGUGAGUAGCGAAAGACGGGUGAGAAUCCCGUCCACCGAUUGACUAAGGUUUCCAGAGGAAGGCUCGUCCGCUCUGGGUUAGUCGGGUCCUAAGCUGAGGCCGACAGGCGUAGGCGAUGGAUAACAGGUUGAUAUUCCUGUACCACCUAUAAUCGUUUUAAUCGAUGGGGGGACGCAGUAGGAUAGGCGAAGCGUGCGAUUGGAUUGCACGUCUAAGCAGUAAGGCUGAGUAUUAGGCAAAUCCGGUACUCGUUAAGGCUGAGCUGUGAUGGGGAGAAGACAUUGUGUCUUCGAGUCGUUGAUUUCACACUGCCGAGAAAAGCCUCUAGAUAGAAAAUAGGUGCCCGUACCGCAAACCGACACAGGUAGUCAAGAUGAGAAUUCUAAGGUGAGCGAGCGAACUCUCGUUAAGGAACUCGGCAAAAUGACCCCGUAACUUCGGGAGAAGGGGUGCUCUUUAGGGUUAACGCCCAGAAGAGCCGCAGUGAAUAGGCCCAAGCGACUGUUUAUCAAAAACACAGGUCUCUGCUAAACCGUAAGGUGAUGUAUAGGGGCUGACGCCUGCCCGGUGCUGGAAGGUUAAGAGGAGUGGUUAGCUUCUGCGAAGCUACGAAUCGAAGCCCCAGUAAACGGCGGCCGUAACUAUAACGGUCCUAAGGUAGCGAAAUUCCUUGUCGGGUAAGUUCCGACCCGCACGAAAGGCGUAACGAUUUGGGCACUGUCUCAACGAGAGACUCGGUGAAAUCAUAGUACCUGUGAAGAUGCAGGUUACCCGCGACAGGACGGAAAGACCCCGUGGAGCUUUACUGUAGCCUGAUAUUGAAAUUCGGCACAGCUUGUACAGGAUAGGUAGGAGCCUUUGAAACGUGAGCGCUAGCUUACGUGGAGGCGCUGGUGGGAUACUACCCUAGCUGUGUUGGCUUUCUAACCCGCACCACUUAUCGUGGUGGGAGACAGUGUCAGGCGGGCAGUUUGACUGGGGCGGUCGCCUCCUAAAAGGUAACGGAGGCGCUCAAAGGUUCCCUCAGAAUGGUUGGAAAUCAUUCAUAGAGUGUAAAGGCAUAAGGGAGCUUGACUGCGAGACCUACAAGU